RNAcentral lists this ribosomal RNA (345 nucleotides) under Rhipicephalus appendiculatus. Its description in RNAcentral is "partial 12S ribosomal RNA". The record is from RNAcentral. Lineage: Eukaryota; Metazoa; Arthropoda; Arachnida; Ixodida; Ixodidae.
AGUAUAUAAUAAUUACGAAAGCAAAAAAUUAUGGCGGUAUUUUAAGCUUUUCAGAGGAAUUUGCUCUUUAAUGGAUAAAACACCUAAAUCUUACUUAAAUUUGUUAAAUCAACUUGUAUACCACUAUUAAAACAAUUAUUAACUCUAAUUGUUAAUAUUUAAAAACAUAAAUUAAUUUAAAUUAAGUCAAGGUGCAGUAAAAAUUUAAGAAUGAAGUGAAUUACAUUACUUUUAAGGGAAAUAAAAUUAAAUAAAGUUUAGGAUUUGAAAGUAAAAUUAAAAUAGAAUGUUAAUUUGAAUUAAGCUCUAAAAUAUGUACAUAUCGCCCGUCACUCUUUUUUAAGA